UACGUAGGGUGCAAGCGUUGUCCGGAAUUAUUGGGCGUAAAGAGCUCGUAGGCGGUUUGUCGCGUCGGCUGUGAAAACCUGGGGCUCAACCCCGGGCCUGCAGCCGAUACGGGCAAACUAGAAUUCGGUAGGGGAGACUGGAAUUCCUGGUGUAGCGGUGAAAUGCGCAGAUAUCAGGAGGAACACCGGUGGCGAAGGCGGGUCUCUGGGCCGAUACUGACGCUGAGGAGCGAAAGCCAGGGGAGCAAACGGG
RNAcentral lists this ribosomal RNA (253 nucleotides) under uncultured bacterium. RNAcentral describes it as "partial 16S ribosomal RNA". It matches the Rfam family "Bacterial small subunit ribosomal RNA", at positions 524 to 776 of the family's 1533-position model. The record is from RNAcentral.